CCUGACCCGAGGCCCGAGCGGGGCGGGGGCGAGGAUCCGACACUGUGCUCAGCUGCUUUCCAGCUUCUGAAAACACCUCGCAUCCCUCUAUGGCAGGAGACUUUCUUGGGUCAGGCAAGUGUGAGGUGAAAAGAAGGCACUAAUGUGGACACACAGCUGAAAAAAGUCUUGAGCAGAAUGUGUUCAACUUCCUGCUUCUCUGACCAUGAUCCUUCCUGACUCUUGGAACCUGAGACUGUCUGGCCUGCUGUCAGCCUCAAAGGGCUGUCCUUAGAAUUAAAUAAAUAAAUAAAGAUGCAAACACUGUGUCUUAGAAGAAUGUCUGCCACGUGAUAUUAGAUCAUGCUCUCCGCUGGGGUUCUGCACACCAUCCAACGGUGUCCACUGAACUUCCUUUUGCUUUUUGCUUUGUUUUUAUUCUUCCCUGGGAAAAAAAUAAAAUAAAAUUGGGUAGAAGACA
Long non-coding RNA from Felis catus (domestic cat), 460 nucleotides. RefSeq lists it as uncharacterized. NCBI's taxonomy places the organism in Eukaryota, Metazoa, Chordata, Mammalia, Carnivora, Felidae. The record is from RefSeq and is a predicted model, not a curated record. The transcript has 4 exons.